CGGGAAUAUUGCGCGAUGGAGGAAACUCUGACGCAGUGACGCCGCGUAUAGGAAGAAGGUUUUCGGAUUGUAAACUAUUGUCGUUAGGGAAGAUACAAGACAGUACCUAAGGAGGAAGCUCCGGCUAACUACGUGCCAGCAGCCGCGGUAAUACGUAGGUGGCAAGCGUUGUCCGGAAUUACUGGGUGUAAAGGGAGCGUAGGCGGGAUGCCAAGUCAGCUGUGAAAACUAUGGGCUUAACUUGUAGACUGCAGUUGAAACUGGUAUUCUUGAGUGAAGUAGAGGUUGGCGGAAUUCCGAGUGUAGCGGUGAAAUGCGUAGAUAUUCGGAGGAACACCGGUGGCGAAGGCGGCCAACUGGGCUUUAACUGACGCUGAGGCUCGAAAGUGUGGGGAGCAAACAGGAUUAGAUACCCUGGUAGUCCACGCCGUAAACGAUGGAUACUAGGUGUGGGAGGUAUUGACCCCUUCCGUGCCGCAGUUAACACAAUAAGUAUCCCACCUGGGGAGUACGGCCGCAAGGUUGAAACUCAAAGGAAUUGACGGGGGCCCGCACAAGCAGUGGAGUAUGUGGUUUAAUUCGAAGCAACGCGAAGAACCUUACCAGGCCUUGACAUCCCGAUGACCGGCUUAGAGAUAAGCCUUCUCUUCGGAGCAUCGGUGACAGGUGGUGCAUGGUUGUCGUCAGCUCGUGUCGUGAGAUGUUGGGUUAAGUCCCGCAACGAGCGCAACCCUUACGGUUAGUUGAUACGCAAGAUCACUCUAGCCGGACUGCCGUUGACAAAACGGAGGAAGGUGGGGACGACGUCAAAUCAUCAUGCCCCUUAUGGCCUGGGCUACACACGUACUACAAUGGCAGUCAUACAGAGGGAAGCAAAAUCGCGAGGUGGAGCAAAUCCCUAAAAGCUGUCCCAGUUCAGAUUGCAGGCUGCAACCCGCCUGCAUGAAGUCGGAAUUGCUAGUAAUCGCGGAUCAGCAUGCCGCGGUGAAUACGUUCCCG
RNAcentral lists this ribosomal RNA (999 nucleotides) under uncultured bacterium. RNAcentral's name for it is "bacterial SSU rRNA". It matches the Rfam family "Bacterial small subunit ribosomal RNA", at positions 356 to 1376 of the family's 1533-position model. The record is from RNAcentral.